GACGAACGCUGGCGGCGUGCUUAACACAUGCAAGUCGAACGGAAAGGCCCUGCUUUUGUGGGGUGCUCGAGUGGCGAACGGGUGAGUAACACGUGAGUAACCUGCCCUUGACUUUGGGAUAACUUCAGGAAACUGGGGCUAAUACCGGAUAGGAGCUCCUGCUGCAUGGUGGGGGUUGGAAAGUUUCGGCGGUUGGGGAUGGACUCGCGGCUUAUCAGCUUGUUGGUGGGUUAGUGGCUUACCAAGGCUGUGACGGGUAGCCGGCCUGAGAGGGUGACCGGCCACAUGGGGACUGAGAUACGGCACAGACUCCUACGGGAGGGAAGAGGGGGGAAUAUUGCACAAUGGGCGGAAGCCAGAUGCAGCAACGCCGCGUGCGGGAUGACGGCCUUCGGGUUGUAAACCGCUUUCGCCUGUGACGAAGCGUGAGUGACGGUAAUGGGUAAAGAAGCACCGGCUAACUACGU
This 467-nucleotide ribosomal RNA is filed under the name uncultured bacterium. RNAcentral describes it as "partial 16S ribosomal RNA". It matches the Rfam family "Bacterial small subunit ribosomal RNA", at positions 28 to 506 of the family's 1533-position model. The record is from RNAcentral.